GCGCCCGACCUCCACCCUUUGUUGUUAAAACUACCUUGUUGCUUUGGCGGGACCGCUCGGUCUCGAGCCGCUGGGGAUUCGUCCCAGGCGAGCGCCCGCCAGAGUUAAACCAAACUCUUGUUAUUUAACCGGUCGUCUGAGUUAAAAUUUUGAAUAAAUCAAAACUUUCAACAACGGAUCUCUUGGUUCUCGCAUCGAUGAAGAACGCAGCGAAAUGCGAUAAGUAAUGUGAAUUGCAGAAUUCAGUGAAUCAUCGAAUCUUUGAACGCACAUUGCGCCCCUUGGUAUUCCGAGGGGCAUGCCUGUUCGAGCGUCAUUACACCACUCAAGCUAUGCUUGGUAUUGGGCGUCGUCCUUAGUUGGGCGCGCCUUAAAGACCUCGGCGAGGCCACUCCGGCUUUAGGCGUAGUAGAAUUUAUUCGAACGUCUGUCAAAGGAGAGGAACUCUGCCGACUGAAACCUUUAUUUUUCUAGGUUGACCUCGGAUCAGGUAGGGAUACCCGCUGAACUUAAGCAUAUCAAUAAG
Molecule: ribosomal RNA, 526 nt
Filed under: Aureobasidium pullulans
Lineage: Eukaryota; Fungi; Ascomycota; Dothideomycetes; Dothideales; Saccotheciaceae
Description: eukaryotic LSU rRNA
Rfam family: 5.8S ribosomal RNA (bases 163-316)
Source: RNAcentral